RNAcentral lists this unclassified non-coding RNA (169 nucleotides) under uncultured Colletotrichum. RNAcentral describes it as "sequence contains ITS1". The record is from RNAcentral. Lineage: Eukaryota; Fungi; Ascomycota; Sordariomycetes; Glomerellales; Plectosphaerellaceae.
CUGAGUUACCGCUCUAUAACCCUUUGUGAACAUACCUCAACUGUUGCCUCGGCGGGCAGGCGGCGGCGACGCCGCCUCCCCGGCGCCCCUCGGGGCGCGCCCGCCGGGGGAUAACCAAACUCUGAUUUAACGACGUUUCUUCUGAGUGGCACAAGCAAAGCAAUAAUCA